This 1325-nucleotide ribosomal RNA is filed under the name uncultured prokaryote. Its description in RNAcentral is "partial 16S ribosomal RNA". It matches the Rfam family "Bacterial small subunit ribosomal RNA". The record is from RNAcentral.
UGCAAGUCGAGCGAGAAAGCCCUUCGGGGUGAGUAGAGCGGCGCACGGGGCCGCACCCGUGGGAACAUACCCUUUGGUAAGGAAUAAUAGCUGGAAACGGCUACUAAUACCUUAUAAUGACUUCGGUCCAAAGAUUUAUCGCCAAAGGAUUGGCCCGCGCAUGAUUAGAUAGUUGGUGAGGUAAUGGCUCACCAAGUCUACGAUCAUUAGCUGGUCUGAGAGGACGAUCAGCCACACUGGAACUGAGACACGGUCCAGACUCCUACGGGAGGCAGCAGUGAGGAAUAUUGCACAAUGGGGGAAACCCUGAUGCAGCCAUGCCGCGUGUAUGAAGAAGGCCUUAGGGUUGUAAAGUACUUUCAAUAGUGAAGAUUAUGACGGUAGCUAUAGAAGAAGCCCCGGCUAAAUUCGUGCCAGCAGCCGCGGUAAUACGAAUGGGGCAAGCGUUGUUCGGAAUAACUGGGCUUAAAGCGUGCGCAGGCGGAUAUGAAAGUCAGAAGUGAAAUCCCAGUGCUCAGCCCUGGAACUGCUUUUGAAACUCGAUAUCUAGAAAUCCGGUAGAGGUCAAGAAAUUCCUAGUGUAGAGGUGAAAUUCGCAGAUAUUAGGAGGAAUACCAGUGGCGUAGGCGCUUGACUGGACCGGUAUUGACGCUCAUGUACGAAAGCGUGGGGAGCAAACAGGAUUAGAUACCCUGGUAGUCCACGCCGUAAACGAUGUAUGCUAGUUGUUGGAGUCUUAACUGCAGUGACGCAGAGAAAUCAUUAAGCAUGCCGCCUGGGGAGUACGGUCGCAAGAUUAAAACUCAAAGGAAUUGACGGGGACCCGCACAAGCGGUGGAGCAUGUGGUUUAAUUCGAGGCAACGCGAAGAACCUUACCAGCUCUUGCAUCCCGAUCGCGGUUCGUGGAGAUACUUUCCUUCAGCUUGGCUGGAUCGGUGACAGGUGGUGCACGGCUGUCGUCAGCUCGUGUCGUGAGAUGUUGGGUUAAGUCCCGCAACGAGCGCAACCCUCAUCCUUAGUUGCUAACAUUUAGUUGAGAACUCUAAGGAAACCGCCGGUGUUAAACCGGAGGAAGGUGGGGAUGACGUCAAGUCAUCAUGGCCCUUACGGGCUGGGCUACACACGUGCUACAAUGGCAGUGACAAUGGGUUAAUCCAUAAAAACUGUCUCAGUUCGGAUUGUCGGCUGCAACUCGCCGGCAUGAAGUUGGAAUCGCUAGUAAUCGUAGGUCAGCAUACUACGGUGAAUACGUUCCCGGGUCUUGUACACACCGCCCGUCACACCAUGGGAGUUGUUUCUACCUUAAGCUGGUGAGCCAAUCAGG